AUUGAACGCUGGCGGCAUGCUUUACACAUGCAAGUCGAACGGCAGCACGGGCUUCGGCCUGGUGGCGAGUGGCGAACGGGUGAGUAAUACAUCGGAACGUACCCAGUAGUGGGGGAUAGCCCGGCGAAAGCCGGAUUAAUACCGCAUAUGCCCUGAGGGGGAAAGCGGGGGACCGAAAGGCCUCGCGCUAUUGGAGCGGCCGAUGGCUGAUUAGCUGGUUGGUGGGGUAAAGGCCUACCAAGGCGACGAUCAGUAGCUGGUCUGAGAGGACGACCAGCCACACUGGAACUGAGACACGGUCCAGACUCCUACGGGAGGCAGCAGUGGGGAAUUUUGGACAAUGGACGCAAGUCUGAUCCAGCCAUUCCGCGUGCAGGAUGAAGGCCCUCGGGUUGUAAACUGCUUUUGUACGGAACGAAAAGGUCUCUCUUAAUACGGGGGACUCAUGACGGUACCGUAAGAAUAAGCACCGGCUAACUUCGUGCCAGCAGCCGCGGUAA
Molecule: ribosomal RNA, 500 nt
Filed under: uncultured bacterium
Lineage: Bacteria
Description: partial 16S ribosomal RNA
Rfam family: Bacterial small subunit ribosomal RNA
Source: RNAcentral